AAAGGAGGCUGCUAGAUGCUAUUACUUAUCAUCCACUGCACGGUUAUCGCCUGUUAGGAUUCAUUGGGAGUACUCUCCUUGUGUUGAGUAGUCAAAAGACUUAAGGGUUAAAGGUUUAUUUAAUUUUCAGUUAAUGCUUUAGCUGCUUGGGGUUUUUUUGUUUUGUUUUGUUUUGUUUUGUUUUCAUCAAAGUCAACAUGAUAACAUUUAUAAAGCUAGCUUAGAAAGCUCAAACACUGAUUUCUGCAUGGCUGAAUUAUGGAAAAACCAGCAAAACUAAUCAGGAAAGGCAGCAAUGGUGAACGCUUGAGGACAUCUCCACUGGGUGGUAAAGCUGACAGCAGAAAAUCAAAGAAAUCUUAGCGCUAAGGCAACAGUGUAACAGAAAAUAUAUGUCAGCUCUCCAUGCCCAUGCAGAUUAUCACUCAGAUAAGACUGUGAUAGAGUUUAAGAAUUCUUUCCCAGUACAGUGUUGAUACUGCAAAGCUUUAAUCUGUUGUUCUUUAGCUUUUUGGAUCUCUUGCUUCAGAACACAAACACUAACUAGUUGACAAAAGCUGUGUUUGCACAUUAUGUCCACUUUCAAUCUAGCAUUUCAAGUUCAAGUUUAGACAUACGAGC
This 621-nucleotide long non-coding RNA is filed under the name Gallus gallus (chicken). The record is from RNAcentral. Lineage: Eukaryota; Metazoa; Chordata; Aves; Galliformes; Phasianidae.